GUGCCCAAUAAGAUAAGUUAUUUAUUAGUUGACAAAAAACAAAACCCCAAUAAUCUGACAUUUCCCUCUGAGCAAGCACUCGGCGACAGUGGGGAGGAAAAACUUUCUUUUAAAAGCAAGAAACCUCCGACAGAACCAGGCUCAGUGAGGGACGGCCAUCUGCCUCGGCCGGUCCUGGAGUUUUUAAAAUGACUUGUUAGCCAAUUUAAAGAGUUUGAUGUCAACUAAUACACUUAAACUGUCCUAAUAAUUUUAAACAAAUAUUUACAGGCAAUCCUGAUGGAUUGCUUACAGAACAUUCAUUUUGUUUUGUCUGUGUGCGAACCCCGUAGCUCGACCCACAUAGGAAAAGAAGCUUCUGAUGAAACUCCAAUAUAGUUACGCAUGCUCUUUGAAGACCUUAAUAAUGAGCCCAUGAACGAAUCAGUGGUCUAAUGACAUGGAUGUCAGAAUAUCAUCUGGGUCUUUCCAUCUCUUUAUGAGAAACUUGUAGACCACGUUACUGAGGAAUGUCCCUUUUUCGGCAGGGAUUUGAACAUUUUUCAAUUGAGGCCAGACUUUGCUGAACAGCCAUUUGGCGAUGGCAUCAGCUUCUUCAGAAGAGCAGGGUGAGUCGGCAUUUUCGACGAUACGCUUCACCAAGUCCUCCAUACAGAUUUUCAGAGAAGACCUGUUUUGAACAUUUGACUCAAUCAAAUGCUUUUUAAUUAUCUGGAUCGUCCGUUUUUGCACUACCGGGUCCUUGUCAUUCAAUAACAUUAUCAAAUGUUCGUCUUUACAGAAUGUUUUGUCGCGGAGCUCUUGGUAAAUGGCCUCAUCAAGACCUUUUAACUUAUUUUUGUCUAUAUAGAGGUCUUUGACGCGGUCAUCAGACAUCACGUUGUCAAAGAGUCGCUUGUGCAGUUUGACUGAAGGUUUGUAGUGGGACAUGUUUGCGUGUGAGAGCACAUCAUGAAUAAGUGUGCUCACACACUCUUUAACCUCAUCAUCAUAAGAGGUCCUGCUACCACCAGAUUGGGAUUUUUCCUUCGAUAUAUUAUCCUCAAACUCUUGUGAAAGUGUUUGGGAGAUUUUUUUAGUUUCUGGUGUUUGGUCUCCAUCGUCUUCAGUUUUUCUAAACCAUGCAAAUAGCCUUGUUAGUAGGUUUCGCUUCUUUUGGAGGAGGUGAUCUUUGAAUAUAGAAAUUACCAUUUCUUGGUGCCGCGGAGCUACUGCUAGCGCAAUUAUUACAAGAUUUGGUGGAAUUCUUACCUGCUUCUGAAUAUCUUUGAAAAUGGCUUUUUCCAGACUUUUCACUGUAUGUCGUUUGAUGUUAAUAGCUUUUCCCUUAAUUUUCGCCCACAGAGAUAUGAAUAGUCGCUGCUGAAUCUCAUCAGACGGCGGCACCUUUGCCUUUCUUGAGGCGCGUACAAUCACAGCGUUUAUGAGCUCGUUAACGAGCCGCUGUUGUUCCAACAGUAGUUCCACAGUCACAUCACCAGGCGCCUGAUUGGUGUUUUCAACUGGGCUCCCUGUUUCCAGUGCACGCCACUGUUCUUCUGUUUUUUUCUGUUUUGUUUUGGAUUUUAUAGUUUCCCUACAUUCACUCAGAUGAUUCAUGUCUGUUUUUGUAUUGAUGUUUCCUGUUAGCUGAUGCGCUCGGCUGUGAAACAUU
Long non-coding RNA from Oreochromis aureus, 1654 nucleotides. The record is from Ensembl. NCBI's taxonomy places the organism in Eukaryota, Metazoa, Chordata, Actinopteri, Cichliformes, Cichlidae.